CACAAUGUAAUCGUGUCCUUCCUAUUGGUUCUAGGCAUAAUUUAAAGGGUGGUCUUAGUAAGGAUGCAGUUUCGGCCAAGAUCACAUAGAACUAUGGCUCGUGUAUGCUUGUUCAGCGGUCGGCACAUAAUCUUGGUUAGUUGAAUCGGAGCUAUGGCAAAGAAAGGGAGUUUAUUAGAACUAUUACUCCACAGACUAAGCUUGUGAAUAACAAAGGAUCCCAAUUUUUAGUUUUAAAGGAGGAUAAUCAAGUUUAAAGAUAUGGUGUUGCUGAGGUCCUUCCUGCACAGCAAACGGUGUUUGGGUAUCUUCUGACUAGAAGUCAUUGCACCAAUCGGCACGCUAUCCAAAGACAUCUAAAUAAGGCCCUGUGCAAUCAAAUAGGAGAGAUUCUUCAGUUUAUUUUCUAUUGCUCAAUAGGGUUGAAUACGGGUUGGUGCUACUACCACUGUACAAACUCCAGGUGAAUCAUUUCGACAGCCACACUCCUCGACUACCGCUCGCAAAUCUGCUCUCGAUGCUACGGUUGUAGGAGAGUACAUGGUAGUGUUUAGUAAAGCUGGGAUUGGAAAG
RNAcentral lists this long non-coding RNA (573 nucleotides) under Manihot esculenta (cassava). Its description in RNAcentral is "long non-coding RNA (MESC_LNC005014)". The record is from RNAcentral. Lineage: Eukaryota; Viridiplantae; Streptophyta; Magnoliopsida; Malpighiales; Euphorbiaceae.